Molecule: ribosomal RNA, 363 nt
Filed under: uncultured eukaryote
Lineage: Eukaryota
Description: partial 18S ribosomal RNA
Rfam family: Eukaryotic small subunit ribosomal RNA
Source: RNAcentral
CAAUAGCGUAUACUAAUGUUGUUGCAGUUAAAAAGCUCGUAGUUGAACUUCUGGUAGGAGUGUCCCGGCCUUUUUGUUUUUACAAAUUGUAUGCUGUGUGACAUCUCUGGCCAUCCUUCUUCUUUGUUUAAAGAAGAUCUUUCACUGUAAAAAAAUUAGGGUGUUCAAAGCAAAAGUUUCUUUGGAAUAUAUUAGUAUGGGAUGAUAAGAUAGGCUCUAGAUGCUAUUUUGUUGGUUUGCACAUUUAGAGAAUGAUUAACAGGGACAGUUGGGGGUAUUCGUAGUUACAUGUCAGAGGUGAAAUUCUUGGAUUUUGGAAAGACGAACUACUGCGAAAGCAUUUACCAAGGAUGUUUUCAUUAA